GACGAACGCUGGCGGCGUGCCUAAUACAUGCAAGUCGAACGCAGUGGGGACGGGUGAGUAACACGUGGGUAACCUCCCAUCAGAGGGGAUAACACUUGGAAACAGGUGCUAAACCGAUACUGAUGGAUGGACCCGCGGUGCAUUAGCUAGUUGGUGAGGUAACGGCUCACCAAGGCCACGAUGCAUAGCCGACCUGAGAGGGUGUUCUCCCACACUUGGACUGUGCCACGGCCCAGACUCCUACGGUAGGCAGCAUUAGGGAAUCUUCGGCAAUGGACGAAAUUCUGCCCGAGCAACGCCGCGUGAGUGAAGAAGGUUUUCGUAUCGUAAAACUCUGUUGUUUGAUAAGCGGUAUCUAACCAGAAUGCCACGGCUAACUACGUGCCAGCAGCCGCGGUAAUAC
RNAcentral lists this ribosomal RNA (403 nucleotides) under uncultured bacterium. Its description in RNAcentral is "partial 16S ribosomal RNA". It matches the Rfam family "Bacterial small subunit ribosomal RNA", at positions 28 to 526 of the family's 1533-position model. The record is from RNAcentral.